RNAcentral lists this ribosomal RNA (483 nucleotides) under uncultured bacterium. RNAcentral's name for it is "bacterial SSU rRNA". It matches the Rfam family "Bacterial small subunit ribosomal RNA", at positions 23 to 491 of the family's 1533-position model. The record is from RNAcentral.
CUCAGAUUGAACGCUGGCGGCAGGCUUAACACAUGCAAGUCGAACGGUAGCAGAGAAUAGCUUGCUAUUUUGCUGACGAGUGGCGGACGGGUGAGUAAUGCUUGGGAAUUUGCCGAAAGGUGGGGGACAACAGUUGGAAACGACUGCUAAUACCGCAUAAUGUCUACGGACCAAAGGUGGCCUCUAUUUAUAUGCUAUCGCCUUUCGAUGAGCCCAAGUGGGAUUAGCUAGUUGGUAAGGUAAUGGCUUACCAAGGCGACGAUCCCUAGCUGGUCUUAGAGGAUGACCAGCCACACUGGAACUGAGACACGGUCCAGACUCCUACGGGAGGCAGCAGUGGGGAAUAUUGCACAAUGGGCGAAAGCCUGAUGCAGCCAUGCCGCGUGUAUGAAGAAGGCCGUUCGGGUUGUAAACGUACGUUUCAGUUGUGAGGAGGGGUAGGUGUUAAUAGCGCUAUCUCUUGACGUUACGCACAGAAGAAUG